This 74-nucleotide transfer RNA is filed under the name Ligilactobacillus salivarius. RNAcentral describes it as "tRNA-Pro (TGG) (tRNA-Pro-TGG-2-1)". It matches the Rfam family "tRNA". Rfam says of the family: Transfer RNA (tRNA) molecules are approximately 80 nucleotides in length. The record is from RNAcentral. Lineage: Bacteria; Bacillati; Bacillota; Bacilli; Lactobacillales; Lactobacillaceae.
CGGGAAGUAGCUCAGUUUGGUAGAGCACCUGGUUUGGGACCAGGGGGUCGGAGGUUCGAAUCCUGUCUUCCCGA